Molecule: ribosomal RNA, 498 nt
Filed under: uncultured bacterium
Lineage: Bacteria
Description: partial 16S ribosomal RNA
Rfam family: Bacterial small subunit ribosomal RNA
Source: RNAcentral
GGAUGAACGCUGGCGGCGUGCCUAAUACAUGCAAGUCGAGCGAACAGAUAAGGAGCUUGCUCCUUUGACGUUAGCGGCGGACGGGUGAGUAACACGUGGAUAACCUACCUAUAAGACUGGGAUAACUUCGGGAAACCGGAGCUAAUACCGGAUAACAUAUUGAACCGCAUGGUUCAAUAGUGAAAGGCGGCUUUGCUGCCACUUAUAGAUGGAUCCGCGCCGUAUUAGCUAGUUGGUAAGGUAACGGCUUACCAAGGCAACGAUACGUAGCCGACCUGAGAGGGUGAUCGGCCACACUGGAACUGAGACACGGUCCAGACUCCUACGGGAGGCAGCAGUAGGGAAUCUUCCGCAAUGGGCGAAAGCCUGACGGAGCAACGCCGCGUGAGUGAUGAAGGUCUUCGGAUCGUAAAACUCUGUUAUCAGGGAAGAACAAAUGUGUAAGUAACUGUGCACAUCUUGACGGUACCUGAUCAGAAAGCCACGGCUAACUACGUG